Molecule: non-coding RNA, 28 nt
Filed under: Mus musculus (house mouse)
Lineage: Eukaryota; Metazoa; Chordata; Mammalia; Rodentia; Muridae
Source: RNAcentral
UGGCCCUUGCUGAGACCAAAGACCCUGC